RNAcentral lists this ribosomal RNA (177 nucleotides) under Cordyceps militaris. RNAcentral's name for it is "5.8S ribosomal RNA". The stretch from base 13 to 166 matches the Rfam family "5.8S ribosomal RNA". From Rfam's summary of the family: 5.8S ribosomal RNA (5.8S rRNA) is a component of the large subunit of the eukaryotic ribosome. It is transcribed by RNA polymerase I as part of the 45S precursor that also contains 18S and 28S rRNA. The record is from RNAcentral. Lineage: Eukaryota; Fungi; Ascomycota; Sordariomycetes; Hypocreales; Cordycipitaceae.
CAAAUGAAUCAAAACUUUCAACAACGGAUCUCUUGGCUCUGGCAUCGAUGAAGAACGCAGCGAAAUGCGAUAAGUAAUGUGAAUUGCAGAAUUCAGUGAAUCAUCGAAUCUUUGAACGCACAUUGCGCCCGCCAGCAUUCUGGCGGGCAUGCCUGUUCGAGCGUCAUUUCAACCCUC